Molecule: non-coding RNA, 48 nt
Organism: Schistosoma haematobium
Lineage: Eukaryota; Metazoa; Platyhelminthes; Trematoda; Strigeidida; Schistosomatidae
Source: Rfam
AUCCAGCUGACGUGUCGCAAAUAGGAGAAAACGCGCGUCAAACUGGAU